Molecule: transfer RNA, 85 nt
Filed under: Longilinea arvoryzae
Lineage: Bacteria; Bacillati; Chloroflexota; Anaerolineae; Anaerolineales; Anaerolineaceae
Description: tRNA-Leu
Rfam family: tRNA
About the family: Transfer RNA (tRNA) molecules are approximately 80 nucleotides in length. Their secondary structure includes four short double-helical elements and three loops (D, anti-codon, and T loops).
Source: RNAcentral
GCCGGAGUGGCGGAAUUGGCAUACGCGCACGACUCAAAAUCGUGUUCCGCAAGGAAUGUGGGUUCGAUUCCCACCUUCGGCACCA